UGAUGUGAGGGCGAUCAGCUGCGACAUCUGUCACCCCAUUGAUCGCCAGGGUUGAUUCGGCUGAUCUGGCUGGCUAGGCGGGUGUCCCCUUCCUCCCUCACCGCUCCAUGUGCAUCCCUCCUGAAGCUGCACGCUCAGUCGAAGAGGACGACCAUCCCCGCUAGAGGAGGACCGGUCUUCGGUCAAGGGUAUACGAGUAGCUGCGCUCCCCUGCUAGAACCUCCAAACAAGCUCUCAAAAUCAAUGAAUCCAGUAGUUGGUUCUUUGAAAACAUCAACAAAAUUGACAGACCAUU
Unclassified non-coding RNA from Chlorocebus sabaeus (green monkey), 295 nucleotides. Its record names the gene 7SK. It matches the Rfam family "7SK RNA". Rfam says of the family: 7SK was discovered as an abundant small nuclear RNA in the mid-70s but a possible function has only recently been suggested. Two independent studies have found that 7SK RNA binds the CDK9/cyclin T complex (known as elongation factor P-TEFb). NCBI's taxonomy places the organism in Eukaryota, Metazoa, Chordata, Mammalia, Primates, Cercopithecidae. The record is from Ensembl.